GUGAGGUAAUGGCUCACCAAGGCGUCGACGGGUAGCCGGCCUGAGAGGGUGACCGGCCACACUGGGACUGAGACACGGCCCAGACUCCUACGGGAGGCAGCAGUGGGGAAUAUUGCACAAUGGGCGAAAGCCUGAUGCAGCAACGCCGCGUGAGGGAUGACGGCCUUCGGGUUGUAAACCUCUUUUAGCAGGGAAGAAGCGAAAGUGACGGUACCUGCAGAAAAAGCGCCGGCUAACUACGUGCCAGCAGCCGCGGUAAUACGUAGGGCGCAAGCGUUAUCCGGAAUUAUUGGGCGUAAAGAGCUCGUAGGCGGUUUGUCGCGUCUGCUGUGAAAUCCCGAGGCUCAACCUCGGGCCUGCAGUGGGUACGGGCAGACUAGAGUGCGGUAGGGGAGAUUGGAAUUCCUGGUGUAGCGGUGGAAUGCGCAGAUAUCAGGAGGAACACCGAUGGCGAAGGCAGAUCUCUGGGCCGUAACUGACGCUGAGGAGCGAAAGGGUGGGGAGCAAACAGGCUUAGAUACCCUGGUAGUCCACCCCGUAAACGUUGGGAACUAGUUGUGGGGACCAUUCCACGGUUUCCGUGACGCAGCUAACGCAUUAAGUUCCCCGCCUGGGGAGUACGGCCGCAAGGCUAAAACUCAAAGGAAUUGACGGGGACCCGCACAAGCGGCGGAGCAUGCGGAUUAAUUCGAUGCAACGCGAAGAACCUUACCAAGGCUUGACAUACACCAGAAC
RNAcentral lists this ribosomal RNA (735 nucleotides) under Microbacterium sp. Its description in RNAcentral is "bacterial SSU rRNA". It matches the Rfam family "Bacterial small subunit ribosomal RNA", at positions 252 to 997 of the family's 1533-position model. The record is from RNAcentral. Lineage: Bacteria; Bacillati; Actinomycetota; Actinomycetes; Micrococcales; Microbacteriaceae.